GCUGGCCGAAGAUUCUAAAAUUCGCUCUAUCUUCCGGUUAGCCUCUCUUCCACGCUCGGAGCUCUCCCUAUUUUUUUGCUUCUCAGAAAACCAGAUAGGAACGAUGCAAAGACUGUGCUCGGUGAGAUCGUUUAUGGGUGCAGUGUCCAGAAAAGGGGCACACCGCGCUGUUUUUUCAACUUCUCUACUCUUCGAAGAUACCCAGAUGCAGUUUAAAGAAAGUGUUGCACAAUUUGCCCAAGAAAAUAUUGCUCCUCGUGCAUCAAAGAUAGACAGAACAAAUUAUUUCCCAGAGGAGAUUAAUUUGUGGAAGCUAAUGGGUGACUUUAAUCUCCAUGGAAUUACUGCUCCGGAGGAAUAUGGAGGACUUGGCCUUGGUUAUUUAUACCACUGCAUAGCCAUGGAAGAAAUUAGUCGUGCUUCAGGAUCUGUUGGCCUGUCCUAUGGUGCCCACUCUAACCUAUGUAUUAAUCAGUUGGUGAGAAAUGGAACUCCCGCUCAGAAGGAGAAAUACUUGCCAAAGUUAAUUACUGGGGAGCAUGUUGGAGCUCUUGCAAUGAGUGAACCAAAUGCUGGCUCUGAUGUUGUUAGCAUGAAAUGUAAAGCUGACCAUGUUGAUGGAGGUUAUCUUUUAAAUGGGAACAAGAUGUGGUGCACUAAUGGUCCAAUUGCUCAGACACUGGUUGUUUAUGCAAAAACAGAUGUUUCUGCUGGCUCCAAAGGAAUCACUGCAUUUAUCAUCGAGAAAGGAAUGCCAGGAUUCAGUACUGCCCAGAAAUUAGACAAACUUGGGAUGCGAGGAAGUGAUACAUGUGAGCUUGUAUUUGAAAAUUGCUUUGUUCCUGAAGAAAAUGUUCUUGGGAAAGAAGGAAAAGGAGUUUAUGUUAUGAUGUCGGGGCUAGAUUUGGAGAGGCUAGUUUUAUCUGGUGGACCCCUUGGAAUAAUGCAAGCAUGUCUUGAUGUUGUUGUUCCUUAUGUACGGCAGCGGGAACAGUUUGGGCGCCCAAUUGGUGAAUUCCAGUUUAUGCAGGGGAAAAUUGCUGACAUGUAUACUGCUCUGCAGUCUUCCAGAUCUUAUGUGUAUUCUGUUGCAAGGGACUGUGACAGUGGAAGAGUUGACCCAAAGGUUCGGGAUCUGUUGGAACUGGUAUUUCAGCAAACUGUGUUGAUGAGAGGAUUCUAAGAUGGAUUAAUAGUGAAACCAAGGGGCAGGGGUUGCUAACGAAUGAAAUUGUGAGAUGAUGCAGCCAUUUAAUUCUGUAAGAUGAGAAAAAAUAUCCAAGAUGGUUUGAACUUGCAGAAUGAAGAUUAACAAGUGCUCUGGAUUGUUCUGGAGUUAUACUUACUGCAGCUGAAAGAGCCACCCAAGUUGCCCUUCAGGCUAUCCAGUGUCUAGGCGGCAACGGAUACGUAAACGAGUACCCGACGGGUCGUCUUCUACGGGACGCCAAAUUAUACGAGAUCGGAGCUGG
Diospyros lotus (date-plum) is the source of this 1472-nucleotide RNA transcript. It is a transcript of the gene named isovaleryl-CoA dehydrogenase, mitochondrial, with no coding region annotated. Lineage: Eukaryota; Viridiplantae; Streptophyta; Magnoliopsida; Ericales; Ebenaceae. The transcript has 16 exons. The record is from RefSeq and is a predicted model, not a curated record.